AGAGAGAGACAUGCGCGCAUAUCAAUAAGCGGAGGAAAAGAAACUAACUAGGAUUCCCUCAGUAACGGCGAGUGAGGCGGGAAGAGCUCAAAUUUGAAAUCUUCAAGGUUCUACCUUGACGAAUUGUAGUUUAAAGAAGUGUUUUCUGUUGGAGUUUUGGUAAAAGUUCUUUGGAAUAGGACAUCAUAGAGGGUGAGAAUCCCGUAUUUGACCAUUAUUUCCAGCUUUGUGAUACACUUUCAAAGAGUCGGAUUGUUUGGGAAUGCAGUCCAAAAUGGGUGGUAAAUUUCAUCUAAAGCUAAAUACUGGCGAGAGACCGAUAGCGAACAAGUACCGUGAGGGAAAGAUGAAAAGAACUUUGAAAAGAGAGUUAAACAGUACGUGAAAUUGUCAAAAGGGAAGCGUUUGACACCAGUGUUGUUUUCUCGAAAAUCAAUUAAAAAAGGCAUGAUUUAUGUAAGUUGUAUUAGACUUUAUCAGCUUAACUGCACUCUUAGUUCUUGUCUUUUUUAAUGCACUUUACAGUUUAACAAGUCAACAUCAAUUUCUUUGUUGUAAAAAGGUCAUUGAGGAAGGUGGCUUGCGAUUUCGUAUAAGUGUUUAUAGCCUUUGCCUCUGCAGUCGGAGAGAUUGAGGUCUGCAGCGUAGAUCCUUCGGGGUUAAAUAGCAUUUGUGCUAAGUUAUAGCCUUUCAUAGACAACUUGUUGACUAUGAUCAGUCAUGUAGCUUACUCGCUUAUGCUAUUUUACCUACGCUUAGGAUGUUGAUGUGAUACUGCGAGCA
RNAcentral lists this ribosomal RNA (783 nucleotides) under uncultured Neocallimastigales. Its description in RNAcentral is "partial large subunit ribosomal RNA". It matches the Rfam family "Eukaryotic large subunit ribosomal RNA", at positions 23 to 629 of the family's 3401-position model. The record is from RNAcentral. Lineage: Eukaryota; Fungi; Neocallimastigomycota; Neocallimastigomycetes; Neocallimastigales.